Molecule: ribosomal RNA, 459 nt
Filed under: uncultured bacterium
Lineage: Bacteria
Description: partial 16S ribosomal RNA
Rfam family: Bacterial small subunit ribosomal RNA
Source: RNAcentral
CCUACGGGAGGCAGCAGUGAGGAAUAUUGGUCAAUGGACGAGAGUCUGAACCAGCCAAGUAGCGUGAAGGAUGACUGCCCUAUGGGUUGUAAACUUCUUUUAUAAAGGAAUAAAACGAGGCACGUGUGCCUUUUUCCUUUUCCUUUUUAAUUAGGAAUCGCUAAACCCCUUCCAGCAGCCGCGGUAAUACGGAGGGUCCGAGCGUUAUCCGGAUUUAUUGGGUUUUAAGGGAGCGUAGAUGGGUUGUUAAGUUAGUUGUGAAAGUUUGCGGCUCAACCGUAAAAUUGCAAUUGAUACUGGCAGUCUUGAGUACAGUUGAGGUAGGCGGAAUUCGUGGUGUAGCGGUGAAAUGCUUAGAUAUCACGAAGAACCCCGAUUGCGAAGGCAGCUUACUAAACUGUGACUGACAUUGAUGCUCGAAAGUGUGGGUAUCAAACAGGAUUAGAUACCCUGGUAGUC